This 505-nucleotide ribosomal RNA is filed under the name uncultured bacterium. RNAcentral describes it as "bacterial SSU rRNA". It matches the Rfam family "Bacterial small subunit ribosomal RNA", at positions 8 to 557 of the family's 1533-position model. The record is from RNAcentral.
AGACUUUGAUCAUGGCUCAGAACGAACGCUGGCGGCAGGCCUAACACAUGCAAGUCGAGCGCGCCCUUCGGGGUGAGCGGCGGACGGGUGAGUAACGCGUGGGAACGUGCCCUUUGCUGCGGAAUAGCCACUGGAAACGGUGAGUAAUACCGCAUGAGCCCUUCGGGGGAAAGAUUUAUCGGCAAAGGAUCGGCCCGCGUUGGAUUAGGUAGUUGGUGGGGUAAUGGCCUACCAAGCCGACGAUCCAUAGCUGGUUUUAGAGGAUGAUCAGCCACACUGGGACUGAGACACGGCCCAGACUCCUACGGGAGGCAGCAGUGGGGAAUCUUAGACAAUGAGCGCAAGCCUGAUCCAGCCAUGCCGCGUGAGUGAAGAAGGCCUUAGGGUUGUAAAGCUCUUUCACCCGCGAAGAUGAUGACGGUAGCGGGAGAAGAAGCCCCCGGCUAACUCCGUGCCAGCAGCCGCGGUAAUACGGAGGGGGCAAGCGUUGUUUCGGAUUUACUGG